Molecule: long non-coding RNA, 1351 nt
Filed under: Homo sapiens (human)
Lineage: Eukaryota; Metazoa; Chordata; Mammalia; Primates; Hominidae
Description: HSALNT0176683
Source: RNAcentral
CCACUGUAAUAGGCAGAUACUGAUGAAGUCCUGCAAAAGAAAGUGACUCGCCCAAGGACAGGAUCAACCAACAGUAAUAGCUGGCAAAGCCUAACUAGGACGCAGGAGCGAGCCUCUCUCCCCACACCACUGACCUGUCCAGCCCUGGCCUGCUGGGGGAGCUGGGCUCGUCCAUGUGUUUUCGUUUCCUCAUCACAGCUCCUACUGCUUUCUUCUCAACUGGGACCUUCAGGAGGAAGCAGAUGCCUGUGACUCCUCCUUUCCAGAGUUGCUCACAGUUCAUGAAGGCACAGUGAAGAAAACUCCCCAUCCUUAAACUGCCAAAGGCAACUUUUAACACCAGCUUUGCAAGAAAGGGAACCUGCCCAAUCUGUAACAUCUCUUCAUGAGUAAAAUGUCCAACACUAAGCACUACUGCCUACGUACCAGGAUCAUCACUUGGAACAUUCUCCUACCUGCAUGGGGAGAAUACAGUGUGUUGGGAUAACCUUUAUGCUUGCAGUCAAAAGCCCAGAAUUCAAGUUUGAUCAUUUAUGACCUUAUGCAAAUCAUUUCUCUUCCAGAAGACUAAUGAUACUAGUAUCCGCCCUGAUGACUCAGAGUCUUUGUUAGAAUUAAAUGUUUCUCCCAAGUAUCUCUUGAAUCUGUUCUUCUCUACCAUCCCCACUUCCACUGGAAUCUCAGUGGAUACAGAGAGGGCUCAAGUUAAAUAAUGACACAAUCCAAAGGAUACACCAAUUACAAGCCAAUUAGGAGGACGUUUGCUAUCAAUUUUAGAUGAAAUUAAGGUAUUACUACAACUUCCUGCCACAACCAAUGUAGCAAAUAAGGAUGUACACUCAUGUUUUUGAGUGGCACCAAGGAAUGGCUUAUUUUCCAGAUCUAUCAAUUACUCUUCCUUUCCCCCACUUGUGAGGCUUCCCUGUGUUCCAAGAGUGCCUACUAUACCCCUAGCACUUACUGUUUUAUUUCUCCUGUUCUAGAAUCUCUGUCCACUUAAGGUCGUCUCUGUGGGGAGUUAAGGGGAGAGAUGGAAAAAAUAAAAAUAAAUAAUUAGAGGAGAUCCAGAGUUCCUAAGGAUCAAAACUAGUUAUAUACAUCAGUACAAGUAUAAAAAUUACAUGGUAUUGGUUUCAGAGGCAGCUGAGAUGCAGUCGACAGAAUGGGCCCAAAAUAAAGAGAAUCUGAGUUUGAAUCUCAGUCCAAUGUCCCUAAUUUCUGAGCCUUGGUUUUCUUACUUACACAAUAACAACUCUCAAUAACAACUUUUGCCAUGCCCUAUUCUAAGUUUAAUCUCACUUAAUCCUCACAACAAGCCUAUAAGUCUAAAUUUGAUAGGUGAGGAAACUGA